This 73-nucleotide transfer RNA is filed under the name Cotesia glomerata. RNAcentral's name for it is "tRNA-Thr". The stretch from base 6 to 68 matches the Rfam family "tRNA", at positions 5 to 66 of the family's 71-position model. From Rfam's summary of the family: Transfer RNA (tRNA) molecules are approximately 80 nucleotides in length. Lineage: Eukaryota; Metazoa; Arthropoda; Insecta; Hymenoptera; Braconidae. The record is from RNAcentral.
GUCUUAGAUAGCUCAACUGAUAGAGCCUUUGAGGCGUAACUAAAUAAUCCGGGUUCGAAUCCCGGUCUGGACU